AUGGAGCCGACCUUGAAAUACCACCCUUUAAUGUUUGAUGUUCUAACGUUGACCCGUAAUCCGGGUUGCGGACAGUGUCUGGUGGGUAGUUUGACUGGGGCGGUCUCCUCCUAAAGAGUAACGGAGGAGCACGAAGGUUGGCUAAUCCUGGUCGGACAUCAGGAGGUUAGUGCAAUGGCAUAAGCCAGCUUGACUGCGAGCGUGACGGCGCGAGCAGGUGCGAAAGCAGGUCAUAGUGAUCCGGUGGUUCUGAAUGGAAGGGCCAUCGCUCAACGGAUAAAAGGUACUCCGGGGAUAACAGGCUGAUACCGCCCAAGAGUUCAUAUCGACGGCGGUGUUUGGCACCUCGAUGUCGGCUCAUCACAUCCUGGGGCUGAAGUAGGUCCCAAGGGUAUGGCUGUUCGCCAUUUAAAGUGGUACGCGAGCUGGGUUUAGAACGUCGUGAGACAGUUCGGUCCCUAUCUGCCGUGGGCGCUGGA
Molecule: ribosomal RNA, 479 nt
Filed under: Escherichia coli
Lineage: Bacteria; Pseudomonadati; Pseudomonadota; Gammaproteobacteria; Enterobacterales; Enterobacteriaceae
Description: partial 23S ribosomal RNA
Rfam family: Bacterial large subunit ribosomal RNA
Source: RNAcentral